AUUGAACGCUGGCGGAAUGCUUUACACAUGCAAGUCGAACGGCAGCACGGGGGCAACCCUGGUGGCGAGUGGCGAACGGGUGAGUAAUACAUCGGAACGUGCCCAGUCGUGGGGGAUAACGUAGCGAAAGUUACGCUAGUACCGCAUACGAUCUACGGAUGAAAGCGGGGGACCGUAAGGCCUCGCGCGAUUGGAGCGGCCGAUGUCAGAUUAGGUAGUUGGUGAGGUAAAGGCUCACCAAGCCGACGAUCUGUAGCUGGUCUGAGAGGACGAGCAGCCACAAUGGGACUGAGACACGGUCGAGACUCCUACGGGAGGCAGCAGUGGGGAAUUUUGGACAAUGGGCGAAAGCCUGAUCCAGCCAUUCCGCGUGCAGGAUGAAGGCCCUCGGGUUGUAAACUGCUUUUGUACAGAACGAAAAGGUUUCUACUAAUACUAGGAGCUCAUGACGGUACUGUAAGAAUAAGCACCGGCUAACUACGUGCCAGCCGCCGCGGUAA
RNAcentral lists this ribosomal RNA (500 nucleotides) under uncultured bacterium. RNAcentral describes it as "partial 16S ribosomal RNA". It matches the Rfam family "Bacterial small subunit ribosomal RNA", at positions 30 to 523 of the family's 1533-position model. The record is from RNAcentral.